RNAcentral lists this ribosomal RNA (908 nucleotides) under uncultured archaeon. Its description in RNAcentral is "bacterial SSU rRNA". It matches the Rfam family "Archaeal small subunit ribosomal RNA", at positions 6 to 922 of the family's 1478-position model. The record is from RNAcentral.
GGUUGAUCCUGCCGGAGGCGACCGCUAUUGGAGUUCGAUUAAGCCAUGCGAGUCUAGAGGCUUAGGCCUCGGCGUACCGCUCAGUAACACGUGGAUAACCUGCCCUGUUCAGGGGGAUAACCUCGCGAAAGUGAGAAUAAUACCCCAUAGUUCACCAUGCCUGGAACGGUUGGUGGAUGAAAGCUCUGGCGGAACAGGAUGGGUCUGCGGCGUAUCAGGUAGUAGGGGGUGUAAUGGACCUCCUAGCCCUCGACGCGUACGGGUUGUGGGAGCAAUCGCCCGGAGAUGGAUUCUGAGACACGAAUCCAGACCCUACGGGGUGCAGCAGGCGCGAAAACUUGACAAUGCGAGAAAUCGUGAUCAGGGAACUCCAAUUGUCCCCGUUUUUACGGGGUUCUGAAUUGACUCUAAACAGGUCGAGUAAUAGGGGCGGGAAAUAUCGGUGCCAGCCGCCGCGGUAAUACCGAAGCCCCAAGUGGUCGUCGUUCUUAUUGGGCCUAAAACGUCCGUAGCCGGUUUGGUACAUUCGUGGGUAAAUCAGACAGCUUAACUGUCUGAAUUCUGCGAGCACGGCCAAACUUGAGACCGGGAGAGGUGUAGGGUACCUGCGGGGUAGGGGUAAAAUCCUGUCAUCCCGUAGGGACCACCAGUUGCGAAGGCUCUACACUAGAACGGAUCUGACGGUCAGGGACGAAGCCUAGGGGCACGAACCGGAUUAGAUACCCGGGUAGUCCUAGGUGUAAACGCUGUGGACUUUGUGUCGGGAAUUCUUCGAGGAUUCUCGGUGCCGGAGUGAAGAUGUUAAGUCCACUGCCUGGGGAGUACGGUCGCAAGGCUGAAACUUAAAGGAAUUGGCGGGGGAGCACUGCAACGAGAGGAGCGUGCGGUUUAAUUGGAUCAACGCCGGG